This 253-nucleotide ribosomal RNA is filed under the name uncultured bacterium. RNAcentral's name for it is "partial 16S ribosomal RNA". It matches the Rfam family "Bacterial small subunit ribosomal RNA", at positions 524 to 776 of the family's 1533-position model. The record is from RNAcentral.
UACGUAGGGGGCAAGCGUUGUCCGGAUUUAUUGGGCGUAAAGAGCUCGUAGGCGGCCGUCCACGUCGGGUGUGAAAGCUCGGGGCUCAACCCUGAGAGGCCAUUCGAUACGGGACGGCUAGAGGCAGGUAGGGGAGAUUGGAAUUCCUGGUGUAGCGGUGAAAUGCGCAGAUAUCAGGAGGAACACCGGUGGCGAAGGCGGAUCUCUGGGCCUUGCCUGACGCUGAGGAGCGAAAGCUGGGGGAGCGAACAGG